GUGCUCACUUCAGCAGCACAUAUACUAAAAUUGGAAUGAUACAGAGAAGACCAGCAUGGCCCCGGCGUAAGGAUGACACACAAAUUCAUGAAGCGUUCCAUGUUUUU
Molecule: small nuclear RNA, 107 nt
Organism: Loxodonta africana (African savanna elephant)
Lineage: Eukaryota; Metazoa; Chordata; Mammalia; Proboscidea; Elephantidae
Source: Ensembl